This 148-nucleotide non-coding RNA is filed under the name Pan paniscus (pygmy chimpanzee). The record is from Rfam by way of RNAcentral. RNAcentral also lists the same sequence under 1 other name. Lineage: Eukaryota; Metazoa; Chordata; Mammalia; Primates; Hominidae.
GCUGGGCGUGGUGGCGCACGCCUGUAAUCCCAGCUACUUAGGAAGCUGAGGUAGGAGAAUCGUUUGAACCCAGGAAGCAGAGGUUGCAGUGAGCCAAGAUCGUGCCACUCCACUCCAGCCUGGGUGAUUGAGUGAGACUCCAUCUCCC